UGAAUACGAGACGCUACGGCGUCGAAGCAGUCUAUGUCAUACUUCCAAGAAAAGCUUGCACUGUCAUAAACAAAUAAUGCCUGUACCAUAACCGACACAGGUGGGUAGGUAGAGUAUACUAAGGGGCGCGAGAUAACUCUCUCUAAGGAACUCGGCAAAAUGACUCCGUAACUUCGGGAGAAGGAGUGCCUUAUUUAUAAGGUUGCAAUAACAAGAUCCAAGCAACUGUUUAUCAAAAACACAGGUCUCCGCUAAGUCGUAAGACGAUGUAUGGGGGCUGACGCCUGCCCAGUGCCAGAAGGUUAAAGAAGUUGGUUAGCAUUAGCGAAGCUGAUAACUGAAGCCCUGGUGAACGGCGGCCGUAACAAUAACGGUCCUAAGGUAGCGAAAUUCCUUGUCGGGUAAGUUCCGACCCGCACGAAAGGCGUAAUGAUUUGGAUACUGUCUCAGAGGGGGGCUCGGUAAAAUAGACUUGUCUGUGAAGAUGCGGACUACCUGCACCAGGACAGAAAGACCCUAUGAAGCUUUACUGUAACUUGAAAUUGAAAUUGGACUUUAUUUGCGCAGUAUAGGUGGGAGGCAUUGAUAAUAUUCUUGCGGGAAUGUUGGAGCCAUCAGUGAGAUACCACUCUUGUAAUGUUAGAUUUCUAACUUUGGAUCAUUAUCUGGUCAAAGGACAGUUUCAGGCGGGCAGUUUGACUGGGGCGGUCGCCUCCUAAAUGGUAACGGAGGCGCACAAAGGUUUCCUCUGAACGGGUAGAAAUCGUAUCUAGAGUGUAAAGGCAUAAGGAAGCUUGACUGUGAGACCUACAAGUCGAGCAGGGACGAAAGUCGGUCUUAGUGAUCUGACGGUGCUGAGUGGAAAGGCCGUCACUCAACGGAUAAAAGUUACUCUAGGAUAACAGGCUGAUCUCCCCCAAGAGUUCACAUCGACGGGGAGGUUUGGCACCUCGAUGUCGGCUCAUCGCAUCCUGGGGCGGUAGUACGUCCCAAGGGUUGGGCUGUUCGCCCAUGAAAGCGGUACGCGAGCUGGGUUCAGAACGUCGUGAGACAGUUCGGUCCAUAUCCGGUGUAGGCGUUAGAAUAUUGAGAGGAGCCUUCUUUAGUACGAGAGGACCGAGAUGGACAUACCUCUGGUGUACCAGUUAUCGUGCCAACGGUAAACGCUGGGUAGCUAUGUAUGGAGAGGAUAACCGCUGAAAGCAUCUAAGUGGGAAGCCCACCUCAAGAUAAGUAUUC
This 1239-nucleotide ribosomal RNA is filed under the name metagenome. RNAcentral's name for it is "bacterial LSU rRNA". It matches the Rfam family "Bacterial large subunit ribosomal RNA", at positions 1564 to 2813 of the family's 2925-position model. The record is from RNAcentral.